This 472-nucleotide ribosomal RNA is filed under the name uncultured bacterium. RNAcentral's name for it is "bacterial SSU rRNA". It matches the Rfam family "Bacterial small subunit ribosomal RNA", at positions 355 to 825 of the family's 1533-position model. The record is from RNAcentral.
UGGGGAAUAUUGGACAAUGGGCGAAAGCCUGAUCCAGCCAUGCCGCGUGUGUGAAGAAGGUCUUCGGAUUGUAAAGCACUUUAAGUUGGGAGGAAGGGUUGUAGAUUAAUACUCUGCAAUUUUGACGUUACCGACAGAAUAAGCACCGGCUAACUCUGUGCCAGCAGCCGCGGUAAUACAGAGGGUGCAAGCGUUAAUCGGAAUUACUGGGCGUAAAGCGCGCGUAGGUGGUUUGUUAAGUUGGAUGUGAAAUCCCCGGGCUCAACCUGGGAACUGCAUCCAAAACUGGCAAGCUAGAGUAUGGUAGAGGGUGGUGGAAUUUCCUGUGUAGCGGUGAAAUGCGUAGAUAUAGGAAGGAACACCAGUGGCGAAGGCGACCACCUGGACUGAUACUGACACUGAGGUGCGAAAGCGUGGGGAGCAAACAGGAUUAGAUACCCAGGUAGUCCCUGAGCGGGCUGGCAAGGCGCAU